This 423-nucleotide ribosomal RNA is filed under the name Javania fusca. RNAcentral's name for it is "partial 16S ribosomal RNA". It matches the Rfam family "Bacterial large subunit ribosomal RNA", at positions 2003 to 2454 of the family's 2925-position model. Lineage: Eukaryota; Metazoa; Cnidaria; Anthozoa; Scleractinia; Flabellidae. The record is from RNAcentral.
CACGAGGGUCUCACUGUCUUAAGGAAAUUUCCAGUGAAAUUGAAUUUGUAGUGAAGAUGCUACAUCCAAAUUGUUAGACAAGAAGUCCCCAUGGAACUUUACUGGAGACUUAUGUGGCUUAAAUUAAUUUAUUUCUUACAAAUAAAUAGUUUUAAAAUGUGGUGUUAACCCCUCGGAUUAACUAGGGUUAUAAAAGCUCACUCUUUUAUUUAAAGAAAGCCAACUCAAACAUUUAUGUCUUUGGGGGUUUGAUAAGUGGGACAGUUUGGUUGGGGCGACCGCCUUUAAAAAAGUAACGAAGGCGGGCUUAAGAUACAUAUUUAGUGAUGUCUGACUGCCAAGGGGAGACCCUGAGCAGACACUUACUUUUUAGGUGGGUUUAAGUGACCCGUUGAUUUAGGGUGAAAUAGUUAACGAUAAACA